RNAcentral lists this ribosomal RNA (253 nucleotides) under uncultured bacterium. Its description in RNAcentral is "partial 16S ribosomal RNA". It matches the Rfam family "Bacterial small subunit ribosomal RNA", at positions 524 to 776 of the family's 1533-position model. The record is from RNAcentral.
UACAGAGGUCUCAAGCGUUGUUCGGAAUCACUGGGCGUAAAGGGUGUGUAGGCGGCGUGGAAAGUCAGAUGUGAAAUCCGGGGGCUCAACCUCCGAAUUGCAUCCGAUACUGCCAUGCUCGAGGUCUGUAGAGGAGUCUGGAAUUCUCGGUGUAGCAGUGAAAUGCGUAGAGAUCGAGAGGAACACUUGUUGCGAAAGCGAGACUCUGGGCAGAAACUGACGCUGAAACACGAAGGCCAGGGUAGCGAACGGG